GUGGGGAAUAUUGGACAAUGGGCGAAAGCCUGAUCCAGCCAUGCCGCGUGUGUGAAGAAGGUCUUCGGAUUGUAAAGCACUUUAAGUUGGGAGGAAGGGCAGUAAGUUAAUACCUUGCUGUUUUGACGUUACCGACAGAAUAAGCACCGGCUAACUUCGUGCCAGCAGCCGCGGUAAUACGAAGGGUGCAAGCGUUAAUCGGAAUUACUGGGCGUAAAGCGCGCGUAGGUGGUUUUGUAAGUUGGAGGUGAAAUCCCCGGGCUCAACCUGUGAACUGCCUCCAAAAAUGCAUGACUAGAGUACGGUAGAGGGUAGUGGAAUUUCCUGUGUAGCGGUGAAAUGCGUAGAUAUAGGAAGGAACACCAGUGGCGAAGGCGACUACCUGGACUGAUACUGACACUGAGGUGCGAAAGCGUGGGGAGCAAACAGGAUUAGAAACCCGAGUAGUCC
RNAcentral lists this ribosomal RNA (450 nucleotides) under uncultured bacterium. Its description in RNAcentral is "partial 16S ribosomal RNA". It matches the Rfam family "Bacterial small subunit ribosomal RNA", at positions 354 to 796 of the family's 1533-position model. The record is from RNAcentral.